AGCUCCAGUAGCGUAUAUUAAAGUUGUUGCAGUUAAAAAGCUCGUAGUAGAAUUUCUGGUGGGGGAAUGCAGUUCAAGCUAUGCUUGAUACUCGCACUCUCCGGCCAUCUUUGAGUGGAGCCUGUCUGGCAUUAAGUUGUCGGGCUGGGGAUGCUCAUCGUUUACUGUGAAAAAAUUAGAGUGUUCAAAGCAGACUUAUGUCGUUGAAUAUAUUAGCAUGGGAUAAUAAGAUAAGACUUCGGUACUAUUUUGUUGGUUAGGUGCCGUUGUAAUGAUGAACAGGGACAGUUGUGGGUAUUCGUAUUCACUUGUAAGAGGUGAAAUUCUUAGAUUAAGGGAAGACGAACUACUGCGAAAGCAUUUACCAAGGAUGUUUUCA
RNAcentral lists this ribosomal RNA (379 nucleotides) under uncultured marine Chaetocerotaceae. Its description in RNAcentral is "SSU rRNA". It matches the Rfam family "Eukaryotic small subunit ribosomal RNA", at positions 587 to 972 of the family's 1831-position model. The record is from RNAcentral. Lineage: Eukaryota; Bacillariophyta; Thalassiosirophyceae; Chaetocerotales; Chaetocerotaceae.